Long non-coding RNA from Equus caballus (horse), 2156 nucleotides. Lineage: Eukaryota; Metazoa; Chordata; Mammalia; Perissodactyla; Equidae. The record is from Ensembl.
AGACCUAUGACACUUGCCAAUUUCUGUUUCCGUUGGGUAUGCUUUCUAGAGAAGUUAAUUAGAGGAAGUUUACUUUCACAGAGGAGCCCGAAGGUACCCAGAGUUCUCCCUCAACUCCAAGAGGUCCAGAGGCGCCAGAUCACCGGGGCCCAAAACCUCCACCUGCUCCUCUGAUGCUGGUCCUGACAGAGACCCAGAAACUGUGAAUGCCAGAGGACAUUGUGAUGACAGCUUUAAAGUGCUGAAACAAAAAUCUCCAACUUAGAAUUCUGCAUUUCUCAAGAACAGCCUUCAAAAGAUGAAGAUGAAAGAUGUGUUCAGACGAACAAAAACUGAGGGAGUUCAUCAGCUGCGCACCAGCACUGUGAGAAGCACUAGGGGAGGCUCUUCAGACUGGAGGAAAAUUAUCCCAGCUAGAAGCACAGAACCACAGGAAGAAAUGAAGGUAUGAAGGCCUUCUUGAAGAUCCUCUGUAGGGGAGGUCUUGUGGCUACAAACUCCCUUAGCUUUGGCUUAUCUGGGAAAGUUGUUAUUUCUCCAUCAUAUCUGAAGUCUAUUUUCACUGAAUAGAGUAUUCUUGGCUGAAAGAUUUUGUCCUUCAAAGAUUUGAAUAUGUCAUUCCAGUCUUUCCUAGCCUGUAAGUUUUCUGCAGAGAAAUCUGGUGAAAGUCUGAUAGAGGUUUCUUUGUAGGUUAUGUUCUUCUGCCUUGCUGCCCUUAGUAUUUUUUCUUUGUCAUUGACUUUUGCCAGUUUCACUACUAUAUGCCUUGCAGUAGGUCUUUUUACACUGGCAUAUUUAGAAGAUCUGAUAGGCUCUUUCAUGUGGAUUUCCAUCUCCUUCCCCAGGUUUGGGAAGUUCUCUGCUAUUAUUACUUUGAACAAGCUUUCUGUUCCAUUCUCCUUCUUUUCUCUCUCUUGAAUAUCUAUAAUUCUUAUGUUGCAUUUCCUAAUUGAGUUGGAUAUUUCUCAGAGAUUUUCUUCAUUUCUUUUUAGUCUUAGUUCUCUCUACUCCUCUGUCUGGAGCAUUUCAAUAUGUCUAUCCUUGAUUAUGCUGAUUCACUCCACUAUGAUGUUGCUCAAACAUUCAGAGAAUCCAAAUUUUGUUUUAUCUCAUCGAUUGUGUCUUUCAUCUCUAAUAUUUCUGAUUGGUUCUUCUUUAUAGUUUCAAUCUCUUUUGUGAAGUAGCUCCUGAACUCGUUGAAUUGUUUCUCUACAUUUUUUUGUAACUCAUUGAGUUUUUUGAUGAUAGCUAUUUUGAAGUCUCUGUCAUUUAGAUUACAUAUUUCUGUGUCUUCAGGACUGAUUUCUGGGUACUUGUCAUUUUCUCUCUGGUCUGGAGAUGUAAUAUAAUUUUUGAUUCUGCUAGAGGGCGUGGCAUUGUUCUUUCACAUCAUGGUAUUAUUUGGUCACACUUACUGCUUACCACUGGGUGGGGGUCAAGAACUGCAUUUUCUGAGCCCUCUGACUUCUGCCAGGAUCCCAGGUGCUGGAGCUGGUGCUAGGUGGGGAGGGGGAGGGGUGCUUUCUUCAUUGUUCUCUUGGGGUUUUCUCACUCUGCCCUCGAUAUCUGCUCUCCUGGGGUAUUGGCUUGAUGAAGUCACCCCUGUGAUAGCUUUCACCUGGGUAGGGAGCUUUCCCCUAGGCUGCAAAGGACCUUGGGGAACUUUGAUGUUCCUGCAAAUGGGCAUCCCCUCCCCUUUUCCUUCCCUCUUGGAGACUGCACAGUCCCAGAUCACAGUCUUUUGGGGAGGGAGCGAAGUUUUCUCUUACCCCAUUCCACCUCCUCCAAGGGGGACUCCAGCCUCUCCACCCUCCCAUGUAUGAUUGUGUUGGUCUUUUGUGUUGUGUGGAUGUCCUCUGCUGGAGGAUAAAUGUCUUUUUCACUGUGUCAUGGAGGGAAGAGAUCACUGGGAGAGCUCACUUAACCAUGAUGCUGAUGUCACUCUCUGGGUAAAAUUUUUAAAGUAAUGUUCUGUAAAGUCUGUAACACAUAUAGAAGUAACUGUGUAUGAAUACAACCCAAAAAAUCUAAUGGUACUGCCUAAAUAUUUUUCAUUUGUCUUAUUAAUAAAUGUUAAUACAAAUUUGGGAAGAUUUUAUUAUUUCAAAUAACUGAAAGUAUUUAAUAAUGUUAAUUUCAUAUUUUCUUCAUUGUUG